GAACAGUUGUUUAUUCUCACCAGCUGGAUGACGCUGCACGUGGCUCUCAGCAUGGGCGAGGAUUAGAGAUGCUGGAGAGGCGUGGCAUGUAGAGCAUAUUCAGCAGUCUUGGAUAUUUUGAUGUAUCUACUUUCAAGCUUCUGCAAAGAUAUUCCCCACGUCUGAAUAAUUGUGCUUCCUUCCCAUGCAACUGCAGAAUAUCAGCCUGGAAUUUUUCUCAAUGGAAUUUCUGAGCUUCAAAGAGCCUUCUUUGGGAAAUAUGCACAGGAUAAACUUUCACAGAAGUGCAGCAAAAAGAGAAGUAUGGGCAGCUAUGGCUUUGUAUAUUAAUUCCACCAACUGAUUCUGUUUGAAGAGCAGAGAAAGCUUCCCUGGCAGUGAUGAUCUAUUUAUAAUCUCAAACUGCUUUAUGAAAAGGGGAAGAAAAAAAAGACCAGGGAACCCCAACAUCUACAAACAAAAACAUCUGCAAUUGUCCCACCUAGUACCUGAACCCAGAAAGGCAGGUUACUAGACCUAUAAGAUGACAAGGAGAAUGACAGAAAAGUGAAAAGAAGUUGCAGAAUGUGAAGUCAGAAAAAUUGGGUUGAAGUUCAAAAUGACUCAACUCUCUUGAGGCAUAACACCCUCAGGGGCAGGUCUGAUGCCUUAGCAGUGCUGAAUUAGAAGAAAAGUUCCUCCGUGUCGUCGUGUCCUGGCAUGAAGAAGAGCGGCUACUGAUAACAAGCACCAUCCUCUACUGAUGGGCUUCUGGGAGGCUGAGAGCCUCACAGGCAUGACUUCUUGUCUGCAGGAGAGCUCAAAAUACCUAUUUAAACAAGCACUCGUAGAGAAGACAUAUAUUUCUCACAUACAAUUUCAGCUAGGAGAUUAAGUUCAGCUAUGAAGGCAGGUUUAAAUGAAGGGGAAGGGAGGGAAAACUGAAUGGGAAGAAAUCAGAGAGGGAGACAAACCAUGAGAGACUCUGGACUCCAGGAAUCAAACUGAGGGUUACAGAAGGGAGGGGGGUGAGGGGAUUAGGUAACUGGGUGUUGGGUAUUGAGGAGGGCACGUGCUGUGACGAGCACUGGUUGCAUCCAAUGACUAAUGCAUCAUUGGACACUACAUCAAAAACUAAUGAUGUACUAUAUGUUGGCUAACUGAACAUAAUAAUAAUAAAAAAAAGAAGGGGUUACAUUAAACAGACCAAUUCCCACUGUACUAAAUCCUAAAUAAUUCAGGGAGAUUAUCUCAAUGCUUCACAAAUAAA
Molecule: long non-coding RNA, 1249 nt
Organism: Ailuropoda melanoleuca (giant panda)
Lineage: Eukaryota; Metazoa; Chordata; Mammalia; Carnivora; Ursidae
Exons: 7
Source: RefSeq, a predicted model, not a curated record